AUGGUCAUCUGCCGCUCUGCGUCCUGCAACCACCGCGACGACAGCCUCGUCCCCAGAGGCGGGGACUUCCCUGAAGGUGAACCUAGUGCACGCGGCGCCGGUACCGUUGAUGCGGGUCGGGCGGCGGUCAGAUCUGCCACGGCCAGGACAGACGUCCUCUUCCUCCCUAUCCAGCUUCCUCCCAUGACUGAGAAGAGGGCUUCGUCAAGGAUCCCAUGA
This 219-nucleotide ribosomal RNA is filed under the name Triticum aestivum (bread wheat). RNAcentral's name for it is "partial small subunit ribosomal RNA". The record is from RNAcentral. Lineage: Eukaryota; Viridiplantae; Streptophyta; Magnoliopsida; Poales; Poaceae.